RNAcentral lists this ribosomal RNA (241 nucleotides) under uncultured Bacillota bacterium. Its description in RNAcentral is "uncultured Firmicutes bacterium partial 16S ribosomal RNA". It matches the Rfam family "Bacterial small subunit ribosomal RNA", at positions 796 to 1041 of the family's 1533-position model. Lineage: Bacteria; Bacillati; Bacillota. The record is from RNAcentral.
CACGCCGUAAACGAUGAGCACUAAGUGUCGGAUAUAAAUUCGGCGCUGUAGUUAACACAUUAAGUGCUCCGCCUGGGGAGUACGGUCGCAAGACUGAAACUCAAAGGAAUUGACGGGGACUCGCACAAGCGGUGGAGCAUGCGGUUUAAUUCGAGGCAACGCGAAGAACCUUACCAGGUCUUGACAUCCCGCUGACCGGUCUAGAAAUAGGCCUUUCCUUCGGGACGGCGGUGACAGGUGG